GUAACACCCAGCAUUAUGCCAGGUCUGUGGCAGGUGUUCGAGAAACUGCAGCUAUUGCUGUAUUCCAUACUUGGCUCCAUUCGUUAGUAACCUGUGUACUGCACUGGUUCCUGAAAUAUGAAGUGUAGUUUGUUGUGUCUGUUAAUGUUUCUCAGGUAAAAGAUGUGAGAUGGAGAAUGGAAGGCUUUCUUAGGAAACGUUUUUUCUUCCGUGGCCCAGUUGAAUUGGAUUUUGUGAUUGAUAUCCAUUGAUAACCUAUCAAUAUCCAAUCUAAGUGAUAAGAAUUUUGCAUGUUUUG
Manis javanica (Malayan pangolin) is the source of this 298-nucleotide non-coding RNA. Lineage: Eukaryota; Metazoa; Chordata; Mammalia; Pholidota; Manidae. The record is from RefSeq and is a predicted model, not a curated record.